RNAcentral lists this transfer RNA (77 nucleotides) under Rhodospirillaceae bacterium. RNAcentral's name for it is "tRNA-Arg". It matches the Rfam family "tRNA". Rfam says of the family: Transfer RNA (tRNA) molecules are approximately 80 nucleotides in length. Their secondary structure includes four short double-helical elements and three loops (D, anti-codon, and T loops). The record is from RNAcentral. Lineage: Bacteria; Pseudomonadati; Pseudomonadota; Alphaproteobacteria; Rhodospirillales; Rhodospirillaceae.
GCGCCCGUAGCUCAGAUGGAUAGAGCAGCGGACUUCUAAUCCGCAGGUCAGAGGUUCGAAUCCUCUCGGGCGCGCCA